AUUUUCCCCGCUUGAGAAGCAAACACGGCUCAAGGUGAGCGAACCAGAACUCUAAAUAUUAAUUUUCUCUUUUCUCCCUUCUUCAAAAACCCUAGCCCCGGGUUCUUUGCACGACAAUAGAGCGACAGUGGACGUUCAAUUUUUGUCUGACGAUCGUUUGCAGCAACUAUACGACCGACGCGCCUUCGCAUGAGUUAGGUUACUUCUUCCUGUCGCUGCUUGAGUAUCUAGUGUGAUGGCCAGCAAUCCACAAUCUUCUGGGCCACAGCCUAUAAGGCCUUCUGUCGUAGGAUCUGCUGGUCCCCCUCCAAAUUUUGGUCCUCCCAUGCCUAUGCAGUUUAGAACUGUUGCUCCACCUCAACAAGCUCAUCAGUUCAAUCCGGUAGCUACCCAACAAUUCAGGCCAACUGUGCAAGGCAUGACUGGACCAAAUGUUGGAAUUUCUGGUCAAACUCAGGCGAUUCCUAUGCCCUACAUUCAACAAAAUAGAUCCAUCACAGCUGGUGCGCAAAGCAUGCAGUUGCCAAAUAAUAUUGUGCCUAAUAUAGGUGGUGUCGGGAUGCCUCUUUCUUCCUCGUACACGUUUGCAACAUCUUAUGGCCAACCGCUGAAUACCAUGAAUGCCUCUUCACAGUAUCAGCCAACGAUCCACGUGCAUGCACCUGUUGCACCUACUAGUGGACCAUCUUGGGGUACAUCAGGGACUCAAAGCUUAUCUCCUUUAACGCCCUUGAUGCACGCCACACAACAACCUAUAAUCAUUGGUUCUGUAGCGGGUACAAAUGUACAACCCGGUACGGCCGAGCAGGUAGCUUCUGAUUGGCAAGAACAUACUGCUGCAGAUGGAAAAAGAUAUUAUUAUAACAAAAAGACCAGGCAGUCUAGUUGGGCGAAACCUUUUGAACUCAUGACGCCUACUGAGAGGGCAGAUGCGUCGACUGAGUGGAAAGAAUUCCAGACUCCAGACGGUCGGAAAUAUUACUAUAACAAAGUGACAAAGCAAUCAAAAUGGUCAAUUCCUGAAGAGCUCAAGUUAGCCCGUGAGCAGGCUGAGAAGGCAGGGAAUCAGCCAGCCUCUGCUGAACCUGUAGUUGCUUCUAUUGCCCCAGCAGCUCAGAGUGCUGUUGUUGAGAUUCCUUCUUCAACAGCUCUAAAUGAUUCAACUCCCCCAGCAACAAGUGCAGUGGCAAGUCCAGUUUCAGCCCCAGUUUCAAAUCAGGCUGCUUCAUUGGCUUCAGGAUCAUCAUCUGUUGUUGAUGCACCUGCUGGAAUAGCUUCCAGUUCUUCCGUGGGAAUUGCAGUUCCUGUGUCUGUUUCAGACCUUAACAUCCCUGCUGCCUCAGUGAUGGCUUCUGUUUCUGGAAGCUCAGAGAUUGUUACUGCGGCAGCAGACAUCAUACUUGGGAGUACAAAGAGUAGUAAUGAGGAUUCAUCUCUACCAAAUGUUGUAAAUACAACUGAUGGAGCAUCUGCUCAGGACCUGGAGGAAGCAAAAAGGGGCAUGCCUACUGCUGGGAAAAUAAAUAUUACUCCCUUGGAAGAAAAAUCAGUUGAUGAGGAGCCUUUGGUUUAUGCUAAUAAGCAGGAGGCUAAAAAUGCCUUUAAAUCACUGCUUGAAUCUGCCAAUGUUGAAUCUGAUUGGACUUGGGAACAGGCUAUGAGAGUCAUCAUAAAUGACAAAAGAUACGGUGCUCUAAAGACCCUGGGGGAGAGGAAACAAGCGUUUAAUGAGUAUUUGGGCCAAAGGAAGAAACAAGAUGCUGAGGAGAAGCGUAAUAGGCAGAAAAAAGUUCGCGAGGAUUUUACAAAAAUGUUAGAGGAAUGCAAUGAACUCACUUCAUCCAUGAAAUGGAGCAAAGCUAUAACCAUGUUUGAAAAUGAUGAGCGGUUCAGCGCUGUUGACCGGCCUAGAGAUCGUGAAGAUCUUUUUGAGAUCUACCUCGUUGAACUUCAGAAGAAGGAAAGAGCAAAGGCAGCUGAUGAUCAUAAACAUAAUAUAAUUGAAUAUAGAGCUUUUCUGGAAUCUUGUGACUUUAUCAAGGCAACUACCCAAUGGAGGAAAGUGCAGGAUCGGUUGGAGGAUGAUGAAAGAUGUUCUCGACUAGAAAAAAUUGACCGUCUUGAGAUUUUUCAGGAGUACAUUCAAGAUCUAGAGAAGGAAGAAGAGGAGCAAAAGAAGAUACAUAGGGAGCAAUUACGGCGCCAAGAGCGAAAAAAUCGUGAUGCAUUCCGCAAGUUGAUGGAAGGUGACAUUGCUGCUGGCAUUCUUACAGCUAAGACACACUGGCGUGAUUAUUGUAUGAAGGUCAAGGAUUCCUCAUCAUACCUGGCAGUAGCAUCAAACACUGCUGGCUCAACACCAAAAGAUCUAUUUGAAGAUGUUGCAGAGGAGCUUGACAAGCAGUUUCAUGAUGACAAGGCACUAAUCAAAGAGGCUAUGAAGACUGGAAAAAUUACUUUGACAUCAGCAUGGACAUUUGAUAAGCUGAAGGCUUCAAUAUCUGAGAACGAUAUGUUGAAAGGAUUAUCUGAGAUCAACUUAAAGCUCGUCUUUGAUGAACUCUUGGAGCGUCAGAAAGAAAAAGAUGAGAAAGAAGCCAAAAAGCGCCAACGACUUGUAGAUAAUUUUUCCGACCUGCUUUAUUCAAUCAAGGAUAUAAAUGCAUCUUCAAAAUGGGAGGAAUCUAGGUCAUUUUUUGAAGACAGUCAAGAAUAUAGAUCAAUUGGAGAAGAGAGCUCUGCAAGGGAGAUUUUUGAGGAUUAUGUUUCUCUUUUGCAAGAAAAGGCAAAAGAAAAGGAGCGCAAAAGAGAUGAAGAGAAGGUUAAAAAAGAGAGGGAAAGAGAAGAGAAGGAAAAAAGGAGGGAGAAAGAAAGAAAGGAAAAAGAGAGAGAACGUGAAAAGGACAAAUUGAAGGAACGGUCAAAAAGGGAUGAUGUAGAUAGUGAAAAUGUUGAUGCCUCCAAUAACCAUGGAAUGAAGGAUAGGAAGCGUGAAAAAGACAAGGAUAGGAAGCAUAGAAAACAUCAUCACAAUGCGGGAGAUGAUAUAAGCUCUGAGAAAGAUGAGAAAGAAGAGUCCAAGAAGUCAAGAAGGCAUAGUAGUGAGAAGAAAAAAUCUAGAAAGCAUGGAUACGGCACUGAUUCCGACAGUGAAAACCGGCACAAGAGACAUAAGAAAGAUAGAGAUGGAUCCCGCAGAAAUGGUGCCUAUGAGGAGCUUGAAGAUGGUGAGCUUGGAGAGGAUGGAGAAAUUCGCUAGUGCAAGUUGCAACUUGCUGUUUAUGACUCGGCAGUCAUACUUGCAUCAUGAUGAAUGGUUUGUAUACCAUGAGGCUUUUAGCUUCAGAGAAGGGUAUCAUUAAUAUCAAAAGCACUGUCUAAUGCUGAGCCCAAUUACAAAAUGAUUUGCUAAUGGAAACAGUUUGGAAGCUACUGUUGGAAGCAUUUGCAGAUAAGGAUUAGUAGAGAAGUUUGAAACGUGUUAAGAGCAUUUCCCAUCCAUUUGUCUCGAAUGGCAUUAGGAUGGAGGCCCCACUUUCUUUCCAUUUCAUCCACCACCUUAAAACCAAUCGAUGGAAGUAAACAGAAGGUAGCAACUAAUAGUUUCAGGUUCUUUCUCGUCAUUCCUCCUGCUAUAUGUUUGGGUUAAGAGAGAAUAAUCUAUGUGAUAAGGGGUUCUGUUGAACUUGUAAUCAGUUGCAUUUAUUUUUAUGUACUAUUUUAGGUGGCAUUAUUUUAGUCUAUAUACUAACGUCUAUACUUGACCUAAAUAAAAGUUUAGCUUGGGCAGUUCCAUCA
RNA transcript from Dendrobium catenatum, 3798 nucleotides. It is a transcript of the gene named pre-mRNA-processing protein 40A, with no coding region annotated. The transcript has 32 exons. The record is from RefSeq and is a predicted model, not a curated record. NCBI's taxonomy places the organism in Eukaryota, Viridiplantae, Streptophyta, Magnoliopsida, Asparagales, Orchidaceae.